Molecule: ribosomal RNA, 508 nt
Filed under: Fusarium oxysporum
Lineage: Eukaryota; Fungi; Ascomycota; Sordariomycetes; Hypocreales; Nectriaceae
Description: eukaryotic LSU rRNA
Rfam family: 5.8S ribosomal RNA (bases 158-311)
Source: RNAcentral
GGAUCAUUACCGAGUUUACAACUCCCAAACCCCUGUGAACAUACCACUUGUUGCCUCGGCGGAUCAGCCCGCUCCCGGUAAAACGGGACGGCCCGCCAGAGGACCCCUAAACUCUGUUUCUAUAUGUAACUUCUGAGUAAAACCAUAAAUAAAUCAAAACUUUCAACAACGGAUCUCUUGGUUCUGGCAUCGAUGAAGAACGCAGCAAAAUGCGAUAAGUAAUGUGAAUUGCAGAAUUCAGUGAAUCAUCGAAUCUUUGAACGCACAUUGCGCCCGCCAGUAUUCUGGCGGGCAUGCCUGUUCGAGCGUCAUUUCAACCCUCAAGCACAGCUUGGUGUUGGGACUCGCGUUAAUUCGCGUUCCCCAAAUUGAUUGGCGGUCACGUCGAGCUUCCAUAGCGUAGUAGUAAAACCCUCGUUACUGGUAAUCGUCGCGGCCACGCCGUUAAACCCCAACUUCUGAAUGUUGACCUCGGAUCAGGUAGGAAUACCCGCUGAACUUAAGCAUA